UAUAAUCCAAAUGCAUUCACUUAUUUUAGUUAACAUGCAAGCCCCAUAAUAUACAUUCUUUAAACGACUGGGUGGAGAGAAAAUACCAGCAAAGUUGGCAAAUGCCAUAAGGCUGGAUUGAUACUGAGACUCUUUCUUUAAACGACUGGGUGGAGAAAAAAUACCAGCAAAGUUGGCAAAUGCCAUAAGGCUGGAUUGUUGCUGAGACUCUGAAAUUUGUGUCCAUUGAAGCAGCAACAUAAGUUGUGAAUAUUGAUCCUUGGUUAAACCAGGAAUCAAAGAUUUUGAUUCAGAGGACCCCUGAGUACUAUCAGCAUUGUUUUGAGACCCAACAGAGUUCGGACACCCCUGCACCUCAACAUUUGCUGAAGUCCUCUUGCUCUUUGUAAAAUUGAAAUCUGGUGGGAAUCCAUGGAGUUUAUAGCACUUGUCAAUCAUAUUUCCAGGUUUCUUGCAAUAUCUACACACUAAGUUUGUCUUGUUGAGAUCAAAGCUGACUCUUCGAUUGAAUUGUUUAGGAUGGGCAGGUGUGCCAGGGAAUUUGUUGGUGAAGUAAGUAUUGAAAGCACUUGAGUCAUUACGGAAUUGAGAUGGUGAGGAAACUUGUAUUUGUCUCUUAUCCUGAAGCAGAAUGUUGUAUGCACUGUCUAGAGAUGGAGGAGGCUGCAACAUGAGAAUGUUGCUCCUAACUCCAACAUAGGUAUCAUUAAGCCCCAUGAGAAAUUGAUGCAGCUUGUUUUCAUCAUCCUCCUUUUGAAGCUCGACUUUGGCAGCACAUGUACAAGUGCUAUCACGAGAGGCACACAUAAAGCCCAAC
Molecule: long non-coding RNA, 817 nt
Filed under: Nicotiana benthamiana
Lineage: Eukaryota; Viridiplantae; Streptophyta; Magnoliopsida; Solanales; Solanaceae
Description: long non-coding RNA (NBEN_LNC039301)
Source: RNAcentral